CCUACGGGAGGCAGCAGUAAGGAAUCUUGCGCAAUGGGCGAAAGCCUGACGCAGCGACGCCGCGUGGGCGAUGAAGGCCUUCGGGUUGUAAAGCCCUUUUCUGGGGGACGAGGAAGGACGGUACCCCAGGAAUAAGUCACGGCUAACUACGUGCCAGCAGCCGCGGUAAUACGUAGGGGGCAAGCGUUACUCGGAAUUACUGGGCGUAAAGGGUGUGUAGGCGGCCGAGCAAGUCGAAGAUGAAAUCCCAGGGCUCAACGCUGGAAUUGUCUUCGAUACUGCUGGGCUUGAGGGUAGUGGAGGAGAGCGAAAUUCCCGGUGGAGCGGUGAAAUGCGUAGAUAUCGGGAGGAACACCAGAGGCGAAGGCGGCUCUCUAUGCUACUCCUGACGCUGAGGCACGAAAGCUAGGGGAGCAAACGGGAUUAGAUACCCCUGUAGU
RNAcentral lists this ribosomal RNA (440 nucleotides) under uncultured bacterium. RNAcentral's name for it is "partial 16S ribosomal RNA". It matches the Rfam family "Bacterial small subunit ribosomal RNA", at positions 338 to 794 of the family's 1533-position model. The record is from RNAcentral.